AGUGAACGCUGGCGGUAGGCCUAACACAUGCAAGUCGAACGGCAGCACAGUAAGAGCUUGCUCUUACGGGUGGCGAGUGGCGGACGGGUGAGGAGUACAUCGGAAUCUACUUUUUCGUGGGGGAUAACGUAGGGAAACUUACGCUAAUACCGCAUACGACCUACGGGUGAAAGCAGGGGAUCUUCGGACCUUGCGCGAUUGAAUGAGCCGAUGUCGGAUUAGCUAGUUGGCGGGGUAAAGGCCCACCAAGGCGACGAUCCGUAGCUGGUCUGAGAGGAUGAUCAGCCACACUGGAACUGAGACACGGUCCAGACUCCUACGGGAGGCAGCAGUGGGGAAUAUUGGACAAUGGGCGGAAGCCUGAUCCAGCCAUACCGCGUGGGUGAAGAAGGCCUUCGGGUUGUAAAGCCCUUUUGUUGGGAAAGAAAAGCAGCAGGUUAAUACCCCGCUGUUCUGACGGUACCCAAAGAAUAAGCACCGGCUAACUUCGUG
RNAcentral lists this ribosomal RNA (492 nucleotides) under uncultured bacterium. RNAcentral describes it as "partial 16S ribosomal RNA". It matches the Rfam family "Bacterial small subunit ribosomal RNA", at positions 29 to 507 of the family's 1533-position model. The record is from RNAcentral.